RNAcentral lists this ribosomal RNA (253 nucleotides) under uncultured bacterium. Its description in RNAcentral is "partial 16S ribosomal RNA". It matches the Rfam family "Bacterial small subunit ribosomal RNA", at positions 524 to 776 of the family's 1533-position model. The record is from RNAcentral.
UACGAAGGGGGCUAGCGUUGCUCGGAAUUACUGGGCGUAAAGGGCGCGUAGGCGGGUCGUCAAGUUGGGGGUGAAAGCCCAGGGCUCAACCUUGGAAUUGCCUUCAAAACUGACGAUCUAGAGUAUGGAAGAGGUAAGUGGAACUCCGAGUGUAGAGGUGAAAUUCGUAGAUAUUCGGAAGAACACCAGUGGCGAAGGCGACUUACUGGUCCAUGACUGACGCUGAGGCUCGAAAGCGUGGGGAGCAAACAGG